UCGCCCGCCGCGCGCGGCGGGCGGGGCGGGGGCACGGGGGGCCUACGGGAGGCAGCAGUAGGGAAUAUUGGUUAAUGGGCGAAAGCCUGAACCAGCAACGCCGCGUGUGCGAUGACGGCCUUCGGGUUGUAAAGCACUUUUUGAGGGGAUGAGGAAGGACAGUACCCUCGGAAUAAGUCUCGGCUAACUACGUGCCAGCAGCCGCGGUAAUA
Molecule: ribosomal RNA, 212 nt
Filed under: uncultured bacterium
Lineage: Bacteria
Description: partial 16S ribosomal RNA
Rfam family: Bacterial small subunit ribosomal RNA
Source: RNAcentral